Molecule: ribosomal RNA, 524 nt
Filed under: uncultured bacterium
Lineage: Bacteria
Description: bacterial SSU rRNA
Rfam family: Bacterial small subunit ribosomal RNA
Source: RNAcentral
AAUAGAUACCCUGGUAGUCCAUGCCGUAAACGAUGUCUACUAGCCGUUGGGGCCCUUGAGGCUUUAGUGGCGCAGCUAACGCGAUAAGUAGACCGCCUGGGGAGUACGGUCGCAAGACUAAAACUCAAAUGAAUUGACGGGGGCCCGCACAAGCGGUGGAGCAUGUGGUUUAAUUCGAUGCAACGCGAAGAACCUUACCUGGCCUUGACAUACAGAGGACUUUCCAGAGAUGGAUUGGUGCCUUCGGGAACUCUGAUACAGGUGCUGCAUGGCUGUCGUCAGCUCGUGUCGUGAGAUGUUGGGUUAAGUCCCGCAACGAGCGCAACCCUUUUCCUUAUUUGCCAGCACUUCGGGUGGGAACUUUAAGGAUACUGCCAGUGACAAACUGGAGGAAGGCGGGGACGACGUCAAGUCAUCAUGGCCCUUACGGCCAGGGCUACACACGUGCUACAAUGGUCGGUACAAAGGGUUGCUACUGCGCGAGCAGAUGCUAAUCUCAAAAAGCCGAUCGUAGUCCGGAUCGC